UACGUAGGUGGCAAGCGUUGUCCGGAUUUACUGGGCGUAAAGAGCGCGCAGGCGGUCGUUCAAGUCGCGUGUGAAAGCCCCCGGCUCAACUGGGGAGGGUCACUCGAUACUGAUCGACUUGAAGGCAGGAGAGGGAAGCGGAAUUCCCGGUGUAGUGGUGAAAUGCGUAGAUAUCGGGAGGAACACCAGUGGCGAAGGCGGCUUCCUGGCCUGUUCUUGACGCUGAGGCGCGAAAGCUAGGGGAGCAAACGGG
This 253-nucleotide ribosomal RNA is filed under the name uncultured bacterium. RNAcentral describes it as "partial 16S ribosomal RNA". It matches the Rfam family "Bacterial small subunit ribosomal RNA", at positions 524 to 776 of the family's 1533-position model. The record is from RNAcentral.